Non-coding RNA from Pelobates cultripes (western spadefoot toad), 260 nucleotides. NCBI's taxonomy places the organism in Eukaryota, Metazoa, Chordata, Amphibia, Anura, Pelobatidae. The record is from the annotation of a GenBank genome assembly.
CUUGCAUAGACAUCACCUCAUACAAAACACCCAGAGGUUCCUCGGUCUGCAAGCUCAUCAGCUCUGGAGUGUCCGGUUCCACCUGAUAAUGGUGUGCUGCUGCCCUUGGGGUGGAAUUCUGCUGCACUUGGUUCCACGCCUGUCUACUCCGAUUCUGAGUGCACUCCCGGGACAUAUGCCCCCACUGACGGCAGGUAUGGCAUUGGAUGUUUGCCCUGGCAUUGUAGCGGGAUGGUGGUGGGGGGUUCCCUUGUGCUGGC